This 990-nucleotide ribosomal RNA is filed under the name Microbacterium arthrosphaerae. Its description in RNAcentral is "bacterial SSU rRNA". It matches the Rfam family "Bacterial small subunit ribosomal RNA", at positions 399 to 1399 of the family's 1533-position model. The record is from RNAcentral. Lineage: Bacteria; Bacillati; Actinomycetota; Actinomycetes; Micrococcales; Microbacteriaceae.
GCGUGAGGGAUGACGGCCUUCGGGUUGUAAACCUCUUUUAGCCAGGAAAAACCGUGUGUGACGGUACUUGCAGAAAACGCGCCGGCUAACUUCGUGCCACCCUCCGCGGUAAUACGUAGGGCGCAAGCGUUAUCCGGAAUUAUUGGGCGUAAAGAGCUCGUAGGCGGUUUGUCGCGUCUGCUGUGAAAUCCCGAGGCUCAACCUCGGGCCUGCAGUGGGUACGGGCAGACUAGAGUGCGGUAGGGGAGAUUGGAAUUCCUGGUGUAGCGGUGGAAUGCGCAGAUAUCAGGAGGAACACCGAUGGCGAAGGCAGAUCUCUGGGCCGUAACUGACGCUGAGGAGCGAAAGGGUGGGGAGCAAACAGGCUUAGAUACCCUGGUAGUCCACCCCGUAAACGUUGGGAACUAGUUGUGGGGUCCUUUCCACGGAUUCCGUGACGCAGCUAACGCAUUAAGUUCCCCGCCUGGGGAGUACGGCCGCAAGGCUAAAACUCAAAGGAAUUGACGGGGACCCGCACAAGCGGCGGAGCAUGCGGAUUAAUUCGAUGCAACGCGAAGAACCUUACCAAGGCUUGACAUACACGAGAACACCCUAGAAAUAGGGGACUCUUUGGACACUCGUGAACAGGUGGUGCAUGGUUGUCGUCAGCUCGUGUCGUGAGAUGUUGGGUUAAGUCCCGCAACGAGCGCAACCCUCGUUCUAUGUUGCCAGCACGUAAUGGUGGGAACUCAUGGGAUACUGCCGGGGUCAACUCGGAGGAAGGUGGGGAUGACGUCAAAUCAUCAUGCCCCUUAUGUCUUGGGCUUCACGCAUGCUACAAUGGCCGGUACAAAGGGCUGCAAUACCGUGAGGUGGAGCGAAUCCCAAAAAGCCGGUCCCAGUUCGGAUUGAGGUCUGCAACUCGACCUCAUGAAGUCGGAGUCGCUAGUAAUCGCAGAUCAGCAACGCUGCGGUGAAUACGUUCCCGGGUCUUGUACACACCGCCCGUCA